Long non-coding RNA from Erinaceus europaeus (western European hedgehog), 2936 nucleotides. RefSeq lists it as uncharacterized. The transcript is spliced from 2 exons. Lineage: Eukaryota; Metazoa; Chordata; Mammalia; Eulipotyphla; Erinaceidae. The record is from RefSeq and is a predicted model, not a curated record.
AGGAGGAGGGGUGGGUGGAAGGGCAGAGGGGCAACAUCUGGGCAGAGAGGAGGAGGAGGGGUGUGUGGAAGGGCAGAGGGGCAACAUCUGGGCAGAGAUGAGGUUACAAAUAAAGAGCGUGCAAAGGAGCUCUGGGGGAGAGCUGGGGCGUGGGGGCCAUUCUGUGAGACAUGGGGGGAAGGAGAGGGCCCAGCAGACAGCGAGCAAAUGGAUGUAGCCAAGGUGGCCUGGGGUUGGGGUGGGGGGUUGUGGAGAGUGGAGUCCCAAUGUGGAGUGUGGAGGGAGAGACUUGAAGGUGAGAAGCUGUGAGGAUGUGAGCAGAGAGGGGACAUCCACACAGGAAGGGCAGAGAGAAAGAUGCAGGAGGGAGGAAGAGGAAGAGCUGCAGGAGGGGAGCAGAGCUGAGGGGACGGCAGAUGGACAGUGAUGGUGUCGAGUGGAGGAUGGUGGCCAGUUGAGGGUCCACUUGGUGAGCAGACAGGCUGUGUGGAAAGGGAGAAGAUGACAGAAGCUGAGGAAGUACAUGGGAGGGUUCCAGAGUUGGCAACACAAAGAAUGGCAGAGUCUGAGGGAGUGAAACAGCUGGUGGGGCAGUGAGGAGAAGUCCAGGAGGUCAGAGGUCAGGUGAGGGGUGUGAACAGUGCAGAGUGUGGGGAGGAAGUGGCAGGGAAAAGGGGGGAUGUGAAAGCGGAAGUGCAGAGUCUCUGAUGGAAGAGAGCAGGAGAAAAGGCCGAGCAAGGAUGGGUCCUGCCGAGUUCAGUCCGCAGCCUGGAGGGUCUUAGAAGGGUUUCAAGUGACAAAGGAAGCAAGGGAGCAGCACAAUUACUAAAUCAAUCUGAUUUAUUGAAUAUUUUAGUGACUGGGAUCCAAAAAUUAUAUUACGUUUGACCAUUAAGUAAUAGAAAAUUAAUGUGGGAAACAUACAUUAAAAAAAAAAAAGGAAAGAACGAAAGAAAGAAACUGUUAGUGGGCUGCCCAAAAGCUGUCAGAAUGAAUUCCAAGUGAGAGGACUGAAAUGGCCAAUGUGGGGAUAAAUUCAGAAAGUGAGGUGGUCGAAAACCCAAUGAUGGAUCAGUCUUGAUUGGCACAAGCAAGGAGGUUUCUAGUCUCCAGACAGAAGAGGGAAUGAGUGGCGGGAAGUUAGUUCAGAAAGGCAGCAAGAAAGAAAUCAGACUGAGGAUGAUGGGCUGAGAAGCAAGCAUCAAGCGGAACAGACAGGUUGAAUGUGGUGAGCAAGUCGGAGGACAGGCAGAUUGGGCAGUGACAUUUGUCAGGAAGGCUCCCAGUGAGCUGGAGAUGGUCAGAUGGGUAAAACGCUCUCAUUACUUAAUAUCUGUACCCUGGGAUUUCAUUUUUGUUCACUGCACAACUAAAAUUUUGAAUUGGCCAUGAUUAUGAAAAUUCUUUUUUUUUUGUAAAAAAAAAUCAGAAAGGUGUUUAUUUUUAAGCAAGCAAAGAAUGAUUCAAAUAUUAAGUCAACUACCAACAGAAUUUCAGAAGCCCCAAAUGUUGAGACAAAAUUCCAUUUCAUUUCUAUGGGAUGAAAAACGAUAAAUUUAGAAUUAAAUUUUAUCAUCAACCAGCAAACCCUUCAUUAGAAAAUAAAAAUUACCCAAAUGUCAAAAUUUUUUCAGAAACAAAAUACUAACAACAAACCAUUAGGUUAAAAAAAAAAAAAAAGAGUCCAUAGCCAGCAGACCAAAAGUUUUGAAACCUCUGGGCUAAGUGGUAAGAUCUAUGUUUUACAAAGAAAUGAACUCACUUGUAAAGAGGAGUGAACAGACUUUCCUAUACCUCCUCUCUUGGUGGAAAUGUUUUCUGUUGUUGCUAUUGUAUUUUCCUGUAAUGUAAUUUCUGUACUUUCAAUAUUGUUGCUUUAUGUACUUUGAUGUUAUAAAAUUGUAUUUAUUGUAUUCUGUUACAAUCAGUCCCUGGGGUGUGAGUUAUCAGCUAGUCAAGUGAAUCUGGGGAAAGAGGAGGAACUACUUUCUCAAUUGGGAAGAGUUUAAUUCUUAGGUUGGCUCAACAUGUGGGUUCCUUCUAAGAGUGGUAAAGUUGUGGUAUCCUUUAAAAAGAAACUUAGUACAAUGGAGGAGGAAUUCUGAAGCAUCAAGACAGGAAAACAGCAAGCAAGUGCAGAGUAUCCCAGGAAUAUGGCGGAAGCCAUGGGGGCUACGUUAAGACUCAGCCCAGAAAUUUGGAAUGCAGGUUAAUAAAACCAGCUUUAAUUAAGAAUACAGCCCCUUAAUUAGCAGCUGGUGGGAUUAACUCAGACAGUAUGAACCAGAGGGAAACAGACCCUGAGACAGUGUGAGAGCGCAAGAGGAAAUGGAAGUAGAGGAACCUUCUAAGGGGGUAAAGGAGAGAAUCAGAGGUGAAAGGCAGACGGCCUAAUGCUUACAGGAGAAACAGUGGAGGCCACAAAGAAAGUGCCUUCCUACCCGGUGGGGGGGACGGAUCCAGGGUGGUGGCGAAACAAACGUGUUGGUCCGCUCAGGGUCAGAGGGAACAACCUGAGAUUCAGACCCUGAAACGGUGCCAACUUGAAUCUACCUCGUGCUAGAAUGAGUAGCCUGGUCUGUCAUCCAACACAGAUGAAGUUGGGCAGGAGCUCGCUCCCCAGACCACCAUCUUGAAAGGGAGCUGGGAGAGGACUGAAAAGGCGGCAAGCUAAGCCCCACGUGUAACUGAAUGAUGACCAGGGAUAGCUAUUUACUAUUAUUGUUAUCGUUCUUAUCAUCAUCACUGUUAUUAUUAUUAUUGCUAUUAUUGUUAUUACUGCUAUUACUAAUGAUGCUGUUGACUCACGAUUUCUUGUGACUCUGUAAUUUCCCCCUGUAUUUGUUAAUCUUGUUAACUUUUAUCUUUUUUUUUUUUUCUGUACUAGUGGUAAAAUUUUUUUUUCCUGAACUAAUAAAAAUUGGCCAAAAUGUCAA